RNAcentral lists this ribosomal RNA (468 nucleotides) under uncultured bacterium. RNAcentral describes it as "partial 16S ribosomal RNA". It matches the Rfam family "Bacterial small subunit ribosomal RNA", at positions 28 to 507 of the family's 1533-position model. The record is from RNAcentral.
GACGAACGCUGGCGGCGUGCUUAACACAUGCAAGUCGAACGGAAAGGCCCUGCUUUUGUGGGGUGCUCGUUUGGCGAACGGGUGAGUAACACGUGAGUAACCUGCCCUUAACUUUGGGAUAACUUCAGGAAACUGGGGCUAAUACCGGAUAUGAUCUCCUGCUGCAUGUGGGGGGUUGGAAAGUUUCGGCGGUUGGGGAUGGACUCGCGGCUUAUCAGCUUGUUGGUGAGGUAGUGGCGUACGAGGGUUUUGACGGGUAGCCUGCCUGAGAGGGUGACCGGCCACAUUGGGACUGAGAUACGGACCAGACUCCUACGGGAGGCAGCAGUGGGGAAUAUUGCACAAUGGGCGGAAGCCUGAUGCAGCAACGCCGCGUGCGGGAUGACGGCCUUCGGGUUGUAAACCGCUUUCGCCUGUGACGAAGCGUGAGUGACGGUAAUGGGUAAAGAAGCAACGGCUAACUACAUG